This 497-nucleotide ribosomal RNA is filed under the name uncultured bacterium. RNAcentral's name for it is "partial 16S ribosomal RNA". It matches the Rfam family "Bacterial small subunit ribosomal RNA", at positions 28 to 507 of the family's 1533-position model. The record is from RNAcentral.
GAUGAACGCUGGCGGCGUGCCUAAUACAUGCAAGUCGAGCGAACGGACGAAAAGCUUGCUUCUCUGAUGUUAGCGGCGGACGGGUGAGUAACACGUGGAUAACCUACCUAUAAGACUGGGAUAACUUCGGGAAACCGGAGCUAAUACCGGAUGAUAUUUUGAACCGCAUGGUUCAAAAGUGAAAGACGGUCUUGCUGUCACUUAUAGAUGGAUCCGCGCUGCAUUAGCUAGUUGGUAAGGUAACGGCUUACCAAGGCAACGAUGCAUAGCCGACCUGAGAGGGUGAUCGGCCACACUGGAACUGAGACACGGUCCAGACUCCUACGGGAGGCAGCAGUAGGGAAUCUUCCGCAAUGGGCGAAAGCCUGACGGAGCAACGCCGCGUGAGUGAUGAAGGUCUUCGGAUCGUAAAACUCUGUUAUUAGGGAAGAACAUAUGUGUAAGUAACUGUGCACAUCUUGACGGUACCUAAUCAGAAAGCCACGGCUAACUACGUG